UACCCCUGAUGGUUAUGUAAUUCGGUAAAAACACUUGAGAAUAGGCAAAACAAAUUUUAAGUAAACAGAACUUAUGUUGAACAAUAAUAAGCAACAGACAUGAACACCUUUCCCAUUCCAGCCUCACAUCAAAACCCAGCAUCAUACAGCUCGUAGAGUGCUUUCUCCUGGUUAUUAAAUUAAAAACCAUCUUCUUGCAGUAAACACCUGGGAAAGACAUUUCUUGUGGAUUUGUAAAAUUUGCUUGUCUUCAAGAAAUGACCCCUUUAAGGAAGAUUUUUCCUCUUGGCUCACAGAUGGAUCCUUGUUUGCUACUUGUGGUAGAAGGAAGUUUCUAGUAAAAGCCUGCUGGCUUUGCAGUUUAGUUUCUCAACUGCUUCUGAGUAUGGAGGAUUAAAUAUAUUACACAAACUGUUUUACAUUUGUCUCCAUCCUUUAUCGUGAGCUUUCAUAUCACCAGUGGCAGGUCGGCGGCUGCUAUUGCAUUGGACACAGCAGGCGUUGUUUCCAUUAGAGAGCGUGAGGCGGUUCUCCUCUCUGAGGGAAAAGCGUGUCUAUUUCCAGGUGCCGGGCCCCACGUGUGGACAGUCUUGUUAUGUUUCUGUGAUGAGUCACAGAGGAUGUUACAGGUGGUGCAGAGUGACGCUUCAAAGACUGAACAAAGUACUGAUGGAGCUGAGGUCUAGGAUGAAAGUAACGAAGUGACUGGAACGAAUAGGAAAUAUUUUGUUCCUCUGAACGUCAGCUUCAGUAUCAUGAAAAAACAUUUGUCAAGCCCCCAAUUGCCAGACUGCUGCACUCAGAACUCCAUAAAGAGAACUUCCCUGCCAAGGGAGCACUCCCCAGGCAACAGGCCCUGAGAGCAUUACCAGAGUCGAGAGUCACCUCAACUAUCGGUGGUCGAGGACAGAUGCUUCCAGCACCUGAUGGCUGAGAGCUCCACUGGGCGCCCAGGGAUCCAUGUGCCCAGGGAGGCCCGGCUCCAGGCACCUGGAAAGCUUGAAAGUUCAUUCUCGGCUGGGACCACACCAUCACGGGUUCCUGUGCAGCCACAUGGCCCACGCUCCACAGCCAUCUAUCAAGCUCACUGACCGGACCAUCUUUGCCGAUACAUGCACAUGAGUUUGGGAAGGACAGAGGAGUGUGUGUGAGUGUGUGUGUGUGUGUGCGUGCACGCACAGAUUUUCAAAUGCCUUCCUCUGUACCUUGUUGGAUACCACAACCCCCUUGUCUGCUUUUAAUAUCACCAGUCCAUGCAUGUAACUUUACUGGCUUAAAAUUCACUUUUUAAAACCUGUCCCUGAUUAGUUCCAAUGUGCUAUAAUGACUUUUGUAUUCUUUUUCAAUUAUAAAUUUUGGUUAACACCACUUUUGAUAUUUUUAUUUCCUGCACUUUCUAUGGUAUAAUUUUUUAUCAUGUAAUAAGUAUGGAAUUUGUGCAGAUGACCUAAUCAGUUAUAUACCCAAUAAACACUAGGGAGUCAUCAGAGUGAACAAGUAAUUUUGUGAAAGCAAACCAUUAUCCAAGGAAUGAUAUGGAGUUGGACUGUAGCCCUCCAGGCUCCUCUGUCCAGGGGAUUCUCCUGGCAAGAACACUGGAGUGGUUUGCCAUGCCCUCCUCCAGGGGAUCUUCCUGACCCGGGGAUUGAACCCGUGUCUCUUACAUCUCCUUCACUGGCAGGCAAAUUCUUUACCGCUAGCACCACCUGGGAAGCCUGGAGUGGGAAAGACUAGUUCUGUCAGUCCUCUUUGGUUGCAGAUGUGUAAAAAGGGGUCUAGUAAUAUAGCACCUGCCUAGAAAAAGGUAUCAGUGGAGAUAUCACAAUGAUUUUGUAGAAAAAUAC
Dama dama (fallow deer) is the source of this 1844-nucleotide long non-coding RNA. RefSeq lists it as uncharacterized. The record is from RefSeq and is a predicted model, not a curated record. The transcript has 3 exons. NCBI's taxonomy places the organism in Eukaryota, Metazoa, Chordata, Mammalia, Artiodactyla, Cervidae.